RNAcentral lists this ribosomal RNA (449 nucleotides) under uncultured bacterium. RNAcentral's name for it is "partial 16S ribosomal RNA". It matches the Rfam family "Bacterial small subunit ribosomal RNA", at positions 29 to 523 of the family's 1533-position model. The record is from RNAcentral.
AACGAACGCUGGCGGCAUGCCUAACACAUGCAAGUCGAACGAACCCUUCGGGGUUAGUGGCGCACGGGUGCGUAACGCGUGGGAAUCUGCCCUUUGCUUCGGAAUAACAGUUAGAAAUGACUGCUAAUACCGGAUGAUGUCUUCGGACCAAAGAUUUAUCGGCAAGGGAUGAGCCCGCGUAGGAUUAGGUAGUUGGUGGGGUAAAGGCCUACCAAGCCGACGAUCCUUAGCUGGUCUGAGAGGAUGAUCAGCCACACUGGGACUGAGACACGGCCCAGACUCCUACGGGAGGCAGAAGUGGGGAAUAUUGGACAAUGGGCUCAAGCCUGAUCCAGCAAUGCCGCGUGAGUGAUGAAGGCCUUCGGGUCGUAAAGCUCUUUUACCAGGGAUGAUAAUGACAGUACCUGGAGAAUAAGCUCCGGCUAACUCCGUGCCAGCCGCCGCGGUAA